AUAUUGCAGGGUUCCUCCAUGCAUAAGACCGGGUUCGGAUGGUAAACCGCUUUGGUAGGGAAAGACUGGGCCCAAUCGAAUACGAGGGGCCAAUGACGGUACCGUAACAAUAAGCCCCGGCUAACUACGUGCCAGCAGCCGCGGUAAUACGUAGGGGGCAAGCGUUAUUCGGAAUUACUGGGCGUAAAGGGUGCGCAGGCGGUCAUAUAAGACAAAUGUGAAAUCCCCGGGCUCAACCUGGAAACGGCUUAAAUGAUGGUUUAGUUAAAUUCCGGAAAAGGGGGAUGAAAUCCCGGUUGUACCAUUAAAAGGCUUAAAUUUUCGAAGAAACACCGAGGGCAAAGGCAAUCCCCUGGCCCUGAACUGACCCUCAUGCACAAAAGCUUGGGAAGCAAACAGGAUAAAAUACCCUGGUAUCCCACCCCCUAAACAAUAUCAACUGGUGGUGGGGAAUCCCCUGACUCAGUAACAAACCUAACGCAUUACGUCGACCGACUGUGGAGUACGGCCGAAACUCAAA
RNAcentral lists this ribosomal RNA (520 nucleotides) under uncultured prokaryote. RNAcentral's name for it is "bacterial SSU rRNA". It matches the Rfam family "Bacterial small subunit ribosomal RNA", at positions 383 to 905 of the family's 1533-position model. The record is from RNAcentral.